This 379-nucleotide unclassified non-coding RNA is filed under the name uncultured Oligoflexales bacterium. Its description in RNAcentral is "contains 16S-23S intergenic spacer region". Lineage: Bacteria; Pseudomonadati; Bdellovibrionota; Oligoflexia; Oligoflexales. The record is from RNAcentral.
UCCGUGUUAACCACGGCAGUCUCUCUAGAGUGCCCAACUUAAUGCUGGCAACUAAAGACAAGGGUUGCGCUCGUUGCGGGACUUAACCCAACAUGUCACCACACGAGCUGACGACAGCCAUGCAGCACCUGUCUACCGGUCGUAUUGCUACGAAAGUCAUAUCUCUAUGAUUGUCCGGCGAUGUCAAACCCAGGUAAGGUUCUUCGCGUUGCUUCGAAUUAAACCACAUGAUCCACCGCUUGUGCGGGCCCCCGUCAAUUCCUUUGAGUUUUAGUCUUGCGACCGUACUUCCCAGGCGGGGUACUUAUUGCGUUAGCUCCGACUCGGCAGGGGUCAAGUCCCACCAAGUCUAGUACCCAUCGUUUACAGCGUGGACUAC